CAGAGGAGGACGCAUAUAAACCGAAGGUUUAUAUCUAGGAUGCGUCCGACGAAAUACCACAGAGCGAAAGCGAUGUGGUGAUACCCGUA
Clostridium sp. CAG:127 is the source of this 89-nucleotide non-coding RNA. The record is from Rfam. Lineage: Bacteria; Bacillati; Bacillota; Clostridia; Eubacteriales; Clostridiaceae.